CCUCUGCCUUCCCUGUCUCUGUCACUGCCUGCUGGGCCUGACUCCCGGCAGUCUGCCCAGUGCUCUUCUGGAGGGUUCCCCUCCAUUUCCCAGUGCGGACUAAAGUCCUUGUACCACAUCUGUCUCUGCUCAGACCCCGCUACAGUCUGGGAAGUGCCCUUGUUCUGGCUGCAUCUUUGCUUUGGUUUGUGGCCUAAACCUCUGACACCUUUCUCUGUUUUCCAACUCCAGUGCUUCCCAGUGCCUCAGCUUCGUGGCCCAAGACGCAUGCUGCUCACACAGCAUCGAUUGCAUGAAAGGAGCGAAGCAGUUGGCUCUGUCUCCGUCCUGAGGGUCCCUCAGCGGUGCUCAUGGAGCAUGGCCUCAGGGCCUCAGCUGCACAGCACAGUCAUUUGGGGGCUUUGAAAAAGCUCCAAGGCCCGUGCCUCAGCCCAGAACAAUUAAGUCAAAACUUCUGGGGCUCUGACCUAGUUAUUAGCAGUUUUUAAAGCUUGUCAAGUGAUUCCUACAUGCAGCCAAGAAGGGGAAUAGCUUUGCUCUGUCAUGCUCCUUCUAUGAUGCAUUGACUGACCACAGGCCCAAAGCAAUGGGGCUGAUGAACCAUGGACAGAAACCUCCAAAAUGAUUUUAUUUAUCUAACAAAUAUCGAGCGAAUAUUUCAUAUGCACCAGGAAUUAUUCCAACUGCUUGGGACUCAACAGUGAACAGAAACAUACAGGAUCCGGACUGAAGCUCUUUACCCAGGGAGGAGGCCGAAUGUCAACGUAAGGUAGGAAGAGGAGCUGCCAAGAGGGACUGAGCACAGUGCAUGGAGCGUGGGACCAUCAGGGCUGACCCUUCCCAAGGGCAGACUGGCAGAUGCGCAGUGUUGAGGAGGUUUGCAGAGAGCAGAGAGGAGUUCAGCUGCAGGAGAUUUGAAACACUUGAUCCCAGAGUUUAUUCUCAUACUGGAACUCACUUUUUGAAAGCAUCCGAUCUUGGCUCAUUCCAGCAUUAGCCAGAUCUACCUUCCACCUCUCUCCAAGCCUCCUUGAUGCUAUAGUGUCUCAGGAAGAAACGAAAAGUGAACUUACCUCAAGGAAGGAUCGUAAAAGUUGGAAGGACUUGUUCCAUGCCUGACUUUCUUUCUCUAGCAUCUCUCACUGUGUUUUCAAUAGACACAUCCAUAAACAUUUCCAGGAAAUGAGUAUUCCUAAGUGUUAUUAGCUUAUAAAGGUUAUAUUGUUUCUUGCUAUGUACACACACAGACACACAUACACACAGGACUUAAACAGAUGGACAUGUCUGUGUUGGGUUCUGUUGUGUCCAUUGACAAGAGACUUUGCCAAAGCUGUUCAUUCAUCACGCUGACUCACAGACAAGUGGCUUUCUUGGGCUUGUAUACACCAUCAGGCCUCUUUGAUCUGGUUACCAUGUUUUUUUGAAAACUUUUGAUUUUUCCAAAACAGGAAAAAAUGCAGUUUACUUUUUAGGGCAGAGAUAGUGGUGAGGCGAGUUAUUUAUGAGUUAUUGCAAAAUACCACAAGGAACAGCAUCCCGGGGAGGAAAGGGCAACUGGGUUACCUGCUGACAGCUCCCUGGAUGCGUUAGGGAAGUGUGUUCCAACAAGGCCUGGGGCAACAGUGAAUAAAACCACACGCUGUGCAGAAAACACUGACUUUGGAAGUAGGAGGGAUUUCCUUUCUUUGUCUAGACAUUUAGAGCUUGCAACAUGAACGAUUUUGGUGAAAUAGUCAGUGAUGGAAGAUGUAUUAUUAUGACAGUUGCUCAUCAUGCUUAUAUAUUUUAAUUUAGGAUUAUCAGCACCAGAUACUCUUUUUUUUGGUACCGGGGAUCGAACUUGGGUCCUUGCACUUCCAAGGCAAGCGACGGAACCACUGGGCUAAAUCCCCGGCCCAGCACCAGAUACUCUUGACACAAUUAUUUCUUAUUCACUUUAGGGUCCUGUCAUUUCAGCCU
Molecule: long non-coding RNA, 1959 nt
Organism: Heterocephalus glaber (naked mole-rat)
Lineage: Eukaryota; Metazoa; Chordata; Mammalia; Rodentia; Bathyergidae
Source: RefSeq, a predicted model, not a curated record